This is a small nuclear RNA of Mastomys coucha (southern multimammate mouse), 162 nucleotides long. RefSeq annotates it as U1 spliceosomal RNA. The record is from RefSeq and is a predicted model, not a curated record. Lineage: Eukaryota; Metazoa; Chordata; Mammalia; Rodentia; Muridae. The transcript has a single exon.
AUACUUACCUGGUCACGAGAACCAUGAUCACAAAGGUGGCUUUCCCAGGGCAAGGUUUAUCCAUUGCAUUCCGGAUGUGCUGACCCCUGAGAUUUCUCCAAAUGUGGGAAACUCGACUGCAUAAUUUGUGGUAGUGGAGGACUGUGUUCCCUCUCUCCCCUG